CAAAAUACAAUUACAAAAGUUUUGACAAAAAAUAUAAAGUGAUUUGACAUACCUUGAAGAAGGAAGAUUAGAAGUAGAGGAGACGUAGGAGACGGAGGCCCAGUUGUCCUUGGAUCGUUGGUACACUCUCAACUGCUCGGCCAGGUUGUACCUUCUAUAAUAAAUGGUGGAAUAACAGCUUUAUACUUCAUCAUGUGGGAAAAAGGCCUCAAAUCAUGUGGACUAGUGAGGGUCCUUGAAGAUAGGAACGAGGUGAGAACUCAGGCCAAUGCGUUUGACAUUAAUGAGAGAGGGAAAAGGAGGGAGGUCUUGUUGGUUUGUGUCAUGUGGACUUGUCCAUUGGCGGAUGAUGCGUAUCUUUUGAUAUUGUCCAAGUCAUGUGCAUUGGUACUAUUGUGAAUGUUGUAAGAAAAGCUGCCCAAGAGUUGCAGAAAUGAAAAUCUUGUUAACUUGAAAUAUUGCUUCUAUCAUUUAAAGGUCAGUCCCAAAUUAGAAAAAAUACAGUGAAGAUGCUUACAUGAGACUUCUUUAAUACA
This is a long non-coding RNA of Juglans regia (Persian walnut), 536 nucleotides long. RefSeq lists it as uncharacterized. NCBI's taxonomy places the organism in Eukaryota, Viridiplantae, Streptophyta, Magnoliopsida, Fagales, Juglandaceae. The transcript is spliced from 3 exons. The record is from RefSeq and is a predicted model, not a curated record.